AUAUUAACCCAGGUGUCUUGGUGCUGGAGAACAGAACUGGCCAGAGUCCAUCCUGUCUCCCACCGGCAUCCCAUUACGAAAUGAACACAGAAAAGGCAGGUCUGCAAUGCCAACAUCUAGUAUCUAUCCCAAAGACCAGGGAGAAAGGAAGGAAAGAUUCUGGUUCUGUCCUCUUCCCCAAGGCAAGGCUGGCUGCCCUACCAACAGAGGCAAAGAGAAGAGUGUGCAAGGCUGGCUGCCCUCCCAACAGAGGCAAAGAGGAGUGUGUGUUGAAAUAUCCAUUGAAUCCCUGAGACAACUGGAUCCUGGCCCAUUGAAUCAUAAACUCAGCAGAAUCUCACAUCAUAACCCCAAAUGACCUGUUACUCACCAUGUGGCCCAGCUGUCUUCAAACUCACCAGCCUCCUGCCUUAGCCUUCUAAAUGCUUGGAUUACAGGCAUGACCCACCAUAACUGGCUUUGUUUUAGUUUCAGAGAAGAUGAAACUGAUGUGCGUCAAAAAGUUAUGGAGGCUGGGAAGACCUAGAAUGUGGCAUCACUAUUUGGAAACCAUGCCGAUUACCGACCGAGCUCUCAAUGGAAAAAUGCAGUCGGCGUGAACCACGCACGAACACAGCAGAGAAAGAAGAAAACACACACCACGAGGAACCCUAAUAGGACAAUACAUUAUAAGUCACAGUGCUACGGAGAAACCCAGUAGCCACAUGGAAGCAGAGACCAUGCAUAUGCAUCUACUCCGCAGCUCUGUGAAUGUCAGCAGCUCCCACGGACUGGAGAUCCCGUGAGAUCCCGUGAGAUCUCACCCAUAGCCUCAUGGUACAUCCACUUGGUGUGCUGGGAGAGUCAGGAUGAGGACCUGAGAAGAACAGCAGCUUGAACCUGACUUCAUUUAACAGCCCACUGCCCUCUUGCCAAGAACCCAUCACAGACCUUCCCAGAAGAGAGGGAUGAGCCUCACCUAUGAAUAAGUCCUCAGAAACUCAAAUUUGAUUCUAAUGGAUUGUUUUCUCAGAAAGACUGAGCAUGUCCCCCCACAUCUCUGUCAUUUCCCACAGUAGUAACCUCUGCAGAUGCCACAUAGAAAACAAAACAAAACAAAAAAACAUGAGGUUGGUGGGCAGAUAGGCAGGGUAUAAACAAACAGCCUUGUAACCCAGAAGCUGUGUGAUAUACAGUAAACUUCACAACACUGAAAAGAUGUCCUAUCUGUUAAAAUGGGGUAAUAACAACUACCCGAAUGUUUAGGAAUAGAACUUCAAUAAAUGAUACAUUUUAUAGUACAGCAGACCAUCCUGUAAAGGUUUCAUCCUUCACUGUGGUGAUAAAUAUCCCAAACCACAUUGAAAAGCAUUGCAUCUACAUUUAUCUACACUGUAACUGUACUGUAAAUCAUGGGGGAGGGGAGAAUCAUAAAAACACCACCUGUCACCGUGUCAUUAAAGCAAGUUGGAAGUGAUACUUACAGAAACACAGCAAGAGCACCCCCAGUCACACAGUUCAAUCUCUUAGCAAGCGUUUUCUUUCUAGCCCAGUGGUUCUCAGUUUGGAAUUUUUGGCACUGCCUAGAGAUAGUUUUGUUGUUAAAACUGAGAAAAGAGCCGGGCGUGGUGGCACACGCCUUUAAUCCCAGCACUCAGGAGGCAGAGGCAGGUGGAUUUCUGAGUUUGAGGCCAGCCUGGUCUACAAAGUGAGUUCCAGGACAGCCAGAGCUAUACAGAGAAACCCUGCCUCGAAAAAACAAAACGAAACAAAAAAUUAAAACAAAAAAACAAAACAAAAACAAACAAACAAAAACCCAAAACUGAGAAAGUGGCAGAGUCAUGGUGGUACAAACCUUUAAUCUCAGUAGGAGGCAGAGGCAGGCCCAUUUCUGUACAGUUCAGUUCUACAGCCUGGUCUAUUAAGUGGAUUCCAGGGUAGACAGGGCCACACAGAGCAACCCAGUUUCCAAAAAACCAAACCAAACCAAACCAAACAAAACAAAACCAAGCCAACCAAACAAAUAAAAAAUUGAGAAAGUGCCUGAUAUCUUUCCUGUGAGGGACUGGCCCAGUGCUGAUCAUUCUGUGCUACAAAGCACAGAAAUAUUUCACCCUUCCCCACAUAAUGCCAUGCUUAAGGAAACCCAAUUUAGGCAAUUUUCAAUUAUUCAUCCAAAAAGUAUUUGUUGAGUAGCUAUCAUCUACGAGGUAAUUUUGUCUAGAUAAACCAAAAAGAAAAAUAUCCAUUAAGCUCAGGAUUCACA
RNAcentral lists this long non-coding RNA (2245 nucleotides) under Mus musculus (house mouse). RNAcentral's name for it is "predicted gene, 36041". Lineage: Eukaryota; Metazoa; Chordata; Mammalia; Rodentia; Muridae. The record is from RNAcentral.